RNAcentral lists this ribosomal RNA (498 nucleotides) under uncultured bacterium. RNAcentral describes it as "partial 16S ribosomal RNA". It matches the Rfam family "Bacterial small subunit ribosomal RNA", at positions 28 to 523 of the family's 1533-position model. The record is from RNAcentral.
GACGAACGCUGGCGGCGCGCCUAACACAUGCAAGUCGAGCGGAGAUAUUUGAAGGAAGUUUUCGGAUGGAAUUUGGGUAUUUUAGCGGCGGACGGGUAAGUAACGCGUGAGUGACCUGCCUUCCACAGGGGGAUAACGUACCGAAAGGUACACUAAUACCGCAUGAGACCACAGCACUGCCUGGUGCAGGGGUCAAAGGAGCAAUCCGGUGGAAGAUGGACUCGCGUCCGAUUAGAUAGUUGGUGGGGUAACGGCCUACCAAGUCAGCGAUCGGUAGCCGACCUGAGGGGGUGAUCGGCCACAUUGGAACUGAGAGACGGUCCAAACUCCUACGGGAGGCAGCAGUGGGGAAUAUUGGGCAAUGGGGGAAACCCUGACCCAGCGACGCCGCGUGAGGGAAGAAGGUUUUCGGAUUGUAAACCUCUGUUCUUGGUGAAGAGGGAAAGACGGUAGCCAAGGAGGAAGCCCCGGCUAACUACGUGCCAGCCGCCGCCGUAA